GAAAAUGUGGUCUCCUAGUUGUCCAUACAAAUCAUCCAAACUCCCAUAUAAAUAGCAACCAUCACCCUCACCAGUUCUUCACACCAGCUCUGCUCUCCCUCUCUGCAUACAAUUGAAGUUAGUAAUUUCUUUCUUAUUCUCUCUUUGUUCUUUUGUUUGUUUUUCUUUUAAAUUCCUUUUUUUUCAUUUCAUUUCUUAUUUAUAUUAGCUUUGUUUCAUAGAUUCUUUCAUCUUUUCAUUAGCUAGCAUUUGUUACAUAUACAUGAGCCUUUCCAUAAAAUUCCAUGAAGAACAAAUGAUCUUAGCUAUGCAACCUAGACAAUACCUGAAAUCAUGAUCAUAUACUCCAAGAAUGAUGAAAUUCCAUUUCUCUUGUUCUGCUUUUAUUCAAGUCUUGUGAUUAGGAACAGUUGUGUCUAGAAUUUAUUUCUAAAAUUUGAUUCAAGCUGUUAAUUUCCAUACUUAAACUUAUUUUAAGAACAAACUUUCGGUCCUCUAUACUCUUGUCCAUAACUACUUGAAUGGUAUCAAACAUAUACUACAAGACUAAUAUUUAAUAUGGACACAUGGACUCAUGUUAAUCUUUCUUUACAAUAACAAAGCAAAUUUAGACCGAACUUCUUAUAGGUACAUUUUAUUUAUUAGUUAUGAGGAGUGAGUGAUUUUGUUUGAUGGUGAAUUAAGAUAUAGUUAUUGUGAUGAGUUAUUAGGUGAUGUUGGAGUUCAACGAAGUAAUUUAUCAAGAGAUUAUGGAAAGCUUCGAGGUAAGGGGAAUCACUAAUAAUAAGUUUCGAUGAGCACAAGAAAUGUGUUACUUGUAUAUUUAUAUUAUUAGUUAUAAUUAGGGGUGUUGUGUACUUUAUAGUAAUUUAAAUUCAUUAAGGUAUAUGCAAAAUGCAAAAUGAUGAGUGAUUGAUUUGGUUUGAGUUUAUGUGAAUAAAUCUUCUGCAAUGAUAUGAUUUGAAAAUGUUCAUGUGUUUGAGUGUU
RNAcentral lists this long non-coding RNA (987 nucleotides) under Trifolium pratense (red clover). Its description in RNAcentral is "long non-coding RNA (TPRA_LNC007719)". Lineage: Eukaryota; Viridiplantae; Streptophyta; Magnoliopsida; Fabales; Fabaceae. The record is from RNAcentral.